AUUGGGACUGAGACACGGCCCAAACUCCUACGGGAGGCAGCAGUAGGGAAUCUUCCACAAUGGACGCAAGUCUGAUGGAGCAACGCCGCGUGAGUGAAGAAGGCUUUCGGGUCGUAAAACUCUGUUGUUGGAGAAGAAUGGUCGGCAGAGUAACUGUUGUCGGCGUGACGGUAUCCAACCAGAAAGCCACGGCUAACUACGUGCCAGCAGCGCGGUAAUACGUAGGUGGCAAGCGUUAUCCGGAAUUAUUGGGCGUAAAGCGAGCGCAGGCGGUUUUUUAAGUCUGAUGUGAAAGCCCUCGGCUUAACCGAGGAAGCGCAUCGGAAACUGGGAAACUUGAGUGCAGAAGAGGACAGUGGAACUCCAUGUGUAGCGGUGAAAUGCGUAGAUAUAUGGAAGAACACCAGUGGCGAAGGCGGCUGUCUGGUCUGUAACUGACGCUGAGGCUCGAAAGCAUGGGUAGCGAACAGGAUUAGAUACCCUGGUAGUCCAUGCCGUAAACGAUGAAUGCUAGGUGUUGGAGGGUUCCGCCCUUCAGUGCCGCAGCUAACGCAUUAAGCAUUCCGCCUGGGGAGUACGACCGCAAGGUUGAAACUCAAAGGAAUUGACGGGGGCCCGCACAAGCGGUGGAGCAUGUGGUUUAAUUCGAAGCAACGCGAAGAACCUUACCAGGUCUUGACAUCUUUUGAUCACCUGAGAGAUCAGGUUUCCCCUUCGGGGGCAAAAUGACAGGUGGUGCAUGGUUGUCGUCAGCUCGUGUCGUGAGAUGUUGGGUUAAGUCCCGCAACGAGCGCAACCCUUAUGACUAGUUGCCAGCAUUUAGUUGGGCACUCUAGUAAGACUGCCGGUGACAAACCGGAGGAAGGUGGGGAUGACGUCAAAUCAUCAUGCCCCUUAUGACCUGGGCUAC
This 910-nucleotide ribosomal RNA is filed under the name Lacticaseibacillus paracasei. RNAcentral's name for it is "bacterial SSU rRNA". It matches the Rfam family "Bacterial small subunit ribosomal RNA", at positions 312 to 1217 of the family's 1533-position model. Lineage: Bacteria; Bacillati; Bacillota; Bacilli; Lactobacillales; Lactobacillaceae. The record is from RNAcentral.